Molecule: non-coding RNA, 19 nt
Filed under: Rattus norvegicus (Norway rat)
Lineage: Eukaryota; Metazoa; Chordata; Mammalia; Rodentia; Muridae
Source: RNAcentral
UUUUUCUUGGUGCCAAAGU